This 253-nucleotide ribosomal RNA is filed under the name uncultured bacterium. RNAcentral's name for it is "partial 16S ribosomal RNA". It matches the Rfam family "Bacterial small subunit ribosomal RNA", at positions 524 to 776 of the family's 1533-position model. The record is from RNAcentral.
UACGUAGGGUGCAAGCGUUGUCCGGAAUUAUUGGGCGUAAAGAGCUCGUAGGCGGCUUGUCGCGUCGACUGUGAAAACCUGGGGCUUAACUCCGGGCCUGCAGUCGAUACGGGCAAGCUAGAGUUCGGUAGGGGAGACUGGAAUUCCUGGUGUAGCGUUGAAAUGCGCAGAUAUCAGGAGGAACACCGGUGGCGAAGGCGGGUCUCUGGGCCGAUAUUGACGCUGAGGAGCGAAAGCGUGGGGAGCAAACAGG